AGUGUAACGGAGGGAACUGCUGACUGCAGAGUUCUCAGGAAGAGCAGACUCCUCUCUGAACAAAAAGGGAAGGAUUUGGAGAUCUAAGUUAAGGCCCUUUCAUCCCUGAGGUCACCAGCUGAUUGGUUUGCAGUAACCUCUGACGAGCUGCAGCAGGACACAGGUGCUGGCUUGAAACAGUGCUGAACGGCUUCAGCGUCCCGUGGUGCGGCGACCGACCGCAAAGAAAGGAGGGAGGGCGAGCCUGAGAGGAGGAAGAAAUCAGCACUCUGGCGGCUGAGGCAGGAUUGCAAGUGUGACAGGGCCCCACGGCAGAGUACUGUGCAACUCCGGAAGGAAAGUUUUCAUAUCCUGUCAGGGACGAUCUCCAGGAAUGCUAAGGGAAAUAACUAAAUGCAGAGCGUGUUCAGUGUAUGAACUGUUCUGAAAAAAUGAAAGAGGAACCCACCCAGUUGUGUCUGUACAUAAAGAAGUCAGACGGCUUCUGAGGGCUGAAUGGUUUGGUGUGGGGCUGGUAACGUGGUGAGAGUAGAGUUGUUGCUAGGUGCUUUUUGGUGUCUUUCUAGUUUUGAACCAUGGCAAUUAUCUGUCCUCAAGUCCAAGCAGCCUCUAUAUUGUUUGUCCUUUCCUUCCAUGCUGAGCCUAGUCCUCAAGGCAAGGCAUUCAGAACCACCAGCAACCCUCACCAGCCAGAGUGCCCUUGUGAAAGAGGUGGUGGGCAGCUCUCUGGCCUGUGUAGGGUGGCAGGGAACUGGGAAGCCACUCACACAGACCAGGACCUGCCCGGGCUGCGCCAGACUUGGUGGCCGCCAGAACCAUGGCAGUGAAGUUCUGCUCUUUACAGGUACCUGUGAUAAGGAAAUUGGUUGGAGCACCCCAAAUGGGCUACAGCAUUAAUGAAAAGAAGAAUAAAACCUGUAAAUUACAUUUCCUUUGCAAAUA
Molecule: long non-coding RNA, 942 nt
Organism: Chinchilla lanigera (long-tailed chinchilla)
Lineage: Eukaryota; Metazoa; Chordata; Mammalia; Rodentia; Chinchillidae
Exons: 3
Source: RefSeq, a predicted model, not a curated record